Molecule: ribosomal RNA, 209 nt
Filed under: uncultured bacterium
Lineage: Bacteria
Description: partial 16S ribosomal RNA
Rfam family: Bacterial small subunit ribosomal RNA
Source: RNAcentral
AGCGUAGACGGCAAGGCAAGUCUGAAGUGAAAGCCCGGUGCUUAACGCCGGGACUGCUUUGGAAACUGUUUAGCUGGAGUGCCGGAGAGGUAAGCGGAAUUCCUAGUGUAGCGGUGAAAUGCGUAGAUAUUAGGAAGAACACCAGUGGCGAAGGCGGCUUACUGGACGGUAACUGACGUUGAGGCUCGAAAGCGUGGGGAGGCAAAACA